Molecule: long non-coding RNA, 844 nt
Filed under: Homo sapiens (human)
Lineage: Eukaryota; Metazoa; Chordata; Mammalia; Primates; Hominidae
Description: HSALNT0064393
Source: RNAcentral
CAGAAACUAGCCAGGUGUUCUCAAACCCCGUUCCUCUUUUCUUCCUGCACACUUGGUUAGAAUACAUUUCUCACCCUCUCUUUCAGUUAGGUGAAUAGACAUGACUGAGUUCAAGUAAAAGGAGUGUGAGUUAAAAUGACACAAACCACUACACAGCAUCCUGCAUGCAGCCCUUCAUGCUGUUUUUCUUUAACAAGCUUAGCAGAGAUAAGCAUAGAAAUGUUAGAAGCAAGAGUCGAAGAUGGCUGAGCCUCAAGAAGGAAGGAGGCUAUGGCUUUAUGGAGGAGAGCUGCCUGAUUUCAUUUGUCCUGAGAGAGUGGAGGAACUGGAGAUAGUGACGAAUUCCAGUUAUGAAAUGCAGUCUCUAUGGAGUUGCCAAUUCUUCUGUUUUGUUACUGUCUUUUGGGCUCAAGUCAUUAAAAUUGUGUAAUUCUAUGCCUUUAAAAGUAUGAAGAUAUUUUUAUUUAUAUAAAUUAAGUUAUACAAAAACUGGACAAGUUGAUAAUUAUUUACUAUCUCUUUGUCAAGUUUAAUUUUAUUUUUCUCAUGUCUCAAGCUAUUUCUCUUUUUCUUUUCUAAGGCUUUGUUAAAAUUAGAAGCUGGGAAAAAUAAUUUUCAGUUGGCCUUUGGAAGUAUAUAAUGUGAAAAAUUUAUCUUCUUAAUUGAAUUGCACACUUAUGAUAUGUGUGCUUUUCUGUUUCUACAUUUCAUUUUAAAAGUUAAAAGAAAUGUAACCUUAAUAGAGUAGUUUCAAGUAUAUCUACAUAUAAGGAUUAUCUGUGCUUUUUCAAAAUUCGAGACAGAGUCUUGCUCUAUUGCCCAGGCUGGAGUGCAGUGGCACUAU